Molecule: long non-coding RNA, 1014 nt
Filed under: Solanum tuberosum (potato)
Lineage: Eukaryota; Viridiplantae; Streptophyta; Magnoliopsida; Solanales; Solanaceae
Description: long non-coding RNA (STUB_LNC004209)
Source: RNAcentral
CUGCUAAAUCUGUCUGGAGAGUCCAACAAUAAAUAAAAGCAUUUCACUUCAUUUGUGCUCUCUAUGCUUCCGUCAUCCCUUUCACCCACUUUUCCUUCUAUUUUUCUCUUCCUCUCCCUAAAUCUAACUUGUUCAAUUUUAGGUUUUCUUAUUCUUCCAAUUUCUAUUAAAGGAAAGAUGGGGGCUACCUAGCAUCAUUCACCCAUAAUUAUCCUCUCUUUUUAUUUUCUUUUGUUGUGCAGGUUUUGUCACAACGAACGAACAUCUGUACACUGUAUUAUUUUAUGUAUUCGCUCUGAUUAUGGCCAACCAUUCUAUUGGAUGAGUUACUGUUCUCUAAUCUGCUCAACUUCCAUUGACAAAUUGUCGGUGGUUUGAACAUACUUUUGAAUUUCUAUUCCUAUAUAUGCUUACUUAAUUAAUGUUGUAAAUCUUAAUUUUGUGCCUUUGCAGCUAUACUUGAAACACAUAAUUUGGAUCUCUCUCGACCUCUACAAUUACAUGUAAUCUCUCCCCUCUCUCUCUUCAUUAUCUGAACUUACUACUUUCUAUGACGAACAUAAAUUUAUGUAUAAAAAUUACGAAUAAAAUAACAACUAGCAAGUCUGAAUUCAUAAUACUAAAAAAAUCCUAAAGGUUGAACUCAUACAACUUAAAUUCGAGAUCUGCAUAUUUAUAUUAGCUCAUGUAAUUGAAGUACAAGAACAAUCACCGUAUACAUUUAUUAAACUGAUAAUCCAUGGGAAGUAUAUGGGUUUAGGCUAACAGUUAACAUAAAAGAGGCUUAAUUAUAAGCAUGAAAAUCAUCUUAAUUGUCUUUUUCCUAAUGAAUUAGUUGGAUCUAUGGUUCUGAACUCCCAAUUUCGGUGUCUUACUUUUCUUUUUGAUUUGUCCCCAAAAGAGUCUCUUCUUAACUUCAAAUAAGUUUUUCAAUUCCAUCCAACAAUAAUGAUCACAAGAUUUAAAAGACUACACAAAUCUUUGACCACAAAAUUAAAAAAACUCCAUAUAUUU